This 417-nucleotide ribosomal RNA is filed under the name uncultured bacterium. RNAcentral describes it as "bacterial SSU rRNA". It matches the Rfam family "Bacterial small subunit ribosomal RNA", at positions 29 to 490 of the family's 1533-position model. The record is from RNAcentral.
AGCGAACGCUGGCGGCAGGCUUAACACAUGCAAGUCGAACGGGCGUAGCAAUACGUCAGUGGCAGACGGGUGAGUAACGCGUGGGAACGUACCUUUUGGUUCGGAACAACCCAGGGAAACUUGGGCUAAUACCGGAUAAGCCCUUACGGGGAAAGAUUUAUCGCCGAAAGAUCGGCCCGCGUCUGAUUAGCUAGUUGGUGAGGUAACGGCUCACCAAGGCAACGAUCAGUAGCUGGUCUGAGAGGAUGAUCAGCCACAUUGGGACUGAGACACGGCCAAACUCCUACGGGAGGCAGCAGUGGGGAAUAUUGGACAAUGGGCGCAAGCCUGAUCCAGCCAUGCCGCGUGAGUGAUGAAGGCCCUAGGGUUGUAAAGCUCUUUUACCCGGGAAGAUAAUGACUGUACCGGGAGAAUAAG